Molecule: long non-coding RNA, 1093 nt
Filed under: Solanum tuberosum (potato)
Lineage: Eukaryota; Viridiplantae; Streptophyta; Magnoliopsida; Solanales; Solanaceae
Description: long non-coding RNA (STUB_LNC003155)
Source: RNAcentral
GGAAUACGUUGUAGAAAAUAUGUGGGAAAAGACAAUAAAUUUUGUUAGUUUGGAUUUGAAGAUAGUACAAAAGUUGGCAAGUUUGUAGAAAUUUUCUGUCCUUGUGUAGGAAUGCAGGACAUAGGAAGUAACAAAAGAAACAACAACUAAACAAUGCUUUCUCCUUUGAAUUGACAUUCGGAAACAAAACUAAAGUAAAGGAUGAAAGUUGUAUUUUGUAUUAUAGUGUUUCUUUUUCUUAUGUAGUUUUUUGCGUCCUAUGUGAGUGUAAUAUGUAAAUGCCAUUUAUAUUGUAAGCACAUUUAAUUGUGGAAAAAGAAAAGAUAAGCUGAUGAAAGAAAGUAAGGAUAAGCCUAGAAGCAACUAUUUCCCUACAGUGGUAUGGCUAGCAAUUCAUGAUUUUGAAUAGCUAUUAACAGUUUGGACUAUCGUGGAAAAAAGAAAAGUGCAAAAAGUUGAAACAUUAAUUAAAAGAGUUGAAUGAAAAGUGAUGGGCAAACAGUGGAAACAAAAUCAGUAAGAGAAGCAGUAAAUUAGCAGCACAAAUAAAGUACGAUUAUUUAGUCGUAGUACCAUUAUGAGAGACUUUCGUACUGGAGUGACUAAUACAACUGGGUGACAUAACAAUUGUCACUGUACUUGGAAUGUUGUAGCUACAGGCAAAGUACAAUAUGAGACAAUAGCUCCUGGGUCUAGGAGAUUGUAUAGUUGAUGCAAGAAAACACAUAAGGUACCUGUGAUGACGGGUGGGAUGUCUGUGAAUCUUGUGGAGUCGGUAGGCUGUAUAUACGAUUUGUGUUGGCAGUUGAAGCAAUCGCUCUAAGGUGACGGUAAUGAAGAUGAUGCUGCAUACGGUGCAGGCCGUUGUAUAUCACUGGUAUCUGAAAUUGUAUACAUUAUGAGAAAAAGCACAUAACGUACCUGUGAGAACGUGUGGGAUGUGUGUCAAUCUUGUGGACUGGCUAGCCGGUAUAUACGGUUUGCGUGAGGAGUGGAAGCAAUCCCUCUAAGGUGGUCAUAAUGAAGAGUCAGAUGCACAGCCUGCACACUGUUCUGUAUCAGCGUUAUUUCUAUGUUUUAGCUGUGGGCAAUC